AAUCCAUGGUGAGGGCAGUCAGGUUCAUACUCUUUAAAACGCUCCCAGGCUUCAUAGAAAGGUUCAGCCGUCCUUUCUGGAAACUUGAGAUCUUGGUUCCCAGUAAGUUC
RNAcentral lists this small nucleolar RNA (110 nucleotides) under Eutrema salsugineum. RNAcentral's name for it is "Plant small nucleolar RNA R71". It matches the Rfam family "Plant small nucleolar RNA R71". Rfam says of the family: R71 is a member of the C/D box family of snoRNAs containing the C (UGAUGA) and D (CUGA) box motifs. Multiple nearly identical copies of this snoRNA have been identified in Arabidopsis, and it is thought to function as a 2'-O-ribose methylation guide for 18S ribosomal RNA. Lineage: Eukaryota; Viridiplantae; Streptophyta; Magnoliopsida; Brassicales; Brassicaceae. The record is from Rfam by way of RNAcentral.